This 401-nucleotide long non-coding RNA is filed under the name Homo sapiens (human). RNAcentral's name for it is "non-protein coding lnc-STK40-1:1". The record is from RNAcentral. Lineage: Eukaryota; Metazoa; Chordata; Mammalia; Primates; Hominidae.
GGUCGCCGGCAUGGUUUCUCCGUCCUGCUGCAGCCGGCGGGAGGCAGCCAGUCCAGGCGCCCGCUAGCUUCGGCGGCGACCCAGACGGGGAAAGCGGAAGGAAUGUCGCGUGGUGGGUCCGGGUCGGCGGUGCAGGGAGCCCCGGGGCGGAAUGCGGGGGAUGCCAGGACCUCCGGAAGGAGGUGCCGGAGCCCAGGAAGCGUUUUCUUCCCCAUUUACCGAGUAUAGCUCCUUUCCCCAGACCCGCUCCCGCUGCUCUGACAAGCAGGCAGCUGGUGUGGAAGAAUGGCGGUGAGCCAUUCAGUGAAGGAGCGGACCAUCUCUGAGAACAGCCUGAUCAUCCUACUGCAGGGCCUCCAGGGCCGGGUAACCACUGUGGACCUGCGGGAUGAGAGCGUGGC